ACUCUUGUAGAGGGUAAAACACACAGAGACACCUCACAUACAGAGACAGCUAUAAUGGGUCAAGCAGCUAAUGAACAUCAGACAGACAGACAGACCAAUAGGGCGGUUAUGAUGGGAAGGAGGAACGAAAACAGACAGAUAGACAGAGCGAGAGAGCCUCUAGGUCCAGCCUUUGAAGAUGUCCGGUCACAUCGGCAAGUACAGAUCCUUUGUUCUCCUUCUCUUUUAUAAUUUGAUCACUUCCUAUACUUGGAGAUUUUCUUCCUGUUUGCAACUGGUACUAACAUAACAGAUGCAAGACUCUCUGGCCAGGAUGACAGAAAAUCGAGGUUGCGGUUGCUGAAAUCCCUCCUGUGCCUUCAACUCUAAACACAGGGUCAGAUGUCAGCCUACAGCUAUGCACAAAACUACAGUAUAAAAAAAAACAACAAAAAAAAAAAACACUUGUGCCAGAUACUGCCAUUUUUUCUGUCCCAGUGUCAAUCCAAUUAUGUCUCAAGCAGAGUACUGGCAAAACAAGGUAGGUAGUAUCAAUUCCAGAGAGUUUUACCUUCAGUCUUUCAUUCAAUCUUGUUCAUUAAAAUAAAGCACAGGAAAAAGUUAGCAAUCAAUAUCACAUGGACAUAAGUGUUGUGGCAAUAGGCAAAUCACAGCUAUGCUAAUAUUCGGUAAAGCAAUGUGACUGUAAUUUUGCUUUUAUACUUUUUUCUCAUGUUUUGUCUUGACCAAAGGGAGAAAAAAAAAAAAAACCCCAAAAGACAUCAAACUUUCAAGCUUUGCAUGAGGACCAGAACUUUUGUAUAUGGAAAGACAGAAAAUUUUACUCUUACAUUCAUUUACUAAGCAGGAUACCUUUUGCUGCACCUGAAAGCUCCCGUUACCUGAAACAAAUUGCCUGAAGAAAUCUGCACCGCUUCUGGUCCUAAAAAUGCAAAGGAGAUGCAGAAACUGG
Long non-coding RNA from Onychostoma macrolepis, 952 nucleotides. RefSeq lists it as uncharacterized. Lineage: Eukaryota; Metazoa; Chordata; Actinopteri; Cypriniformes; Cyprinidae. The transcript has 3 exons. The record is from RefSeq and is a predicted model, not a curated record.